AAUUCAGGGGAAGGAUGCUUAAAAUGCCAUAUUUGGAGGCAAUGACGUCACAGCGACGCGACGAGGACUGUCCGAAUUCAAAGAGCACUCAAAAUGUGGCGACAAAUGUGUCCUACUUUUCCGUGAAUUUGAGGGUUAGUCGUGUCCGAAUUCAGAGGAAGGACGCUUCAAUGCCAUAUUUGGAGGCAAUGACGUCACGGCGACGAGACGAAGGCUGUCCGAAUUCAAAGAGUCCUCAAAAUGUGGCGACAAAUGUGUCCUACUUUGCCCUGAAUUCUAAGGAUGGUCCGAUGUAUCCUUCAUGUCCUACUAUAUCCCAGGAUUCAUUGCGGGUCAUAGAGGAGAUUUGUUUCUGAUAACGAUGGUGGUCAAAGCGGGAGAGGAAAACACUUUCAAAUGACAAUUCUGGAGAAGAUGGGCCUGCAGGGGAAAGUCACCCCCUUGCAGGCCAGAAGACAUGAGAUAACUUUAAAGAAUACAAAGAUUGCAAGUAUCCAGGCUCAGGAGAGGGGGUCAGUGGGAAGCCCACUGCUGCUACUUGGCCCUGGUUUGCCCUCAUGGAUGAGGUGAUAGGACAGAGGCCUUCCAUUAAGCCUCUUGUCCAAAUGUCCUCUCUCCCUGAGGACACUCCAGGGCCAAGCACAACAGUGGGUGACCAAAACGACAGUGAUGAUGAAGCGGCU
Long non-coding RNA from Pelmatolapia mariae (spotted tilapia), 683 nucleotides. RefSeq lists it as uncharacterized. The transcript is spliced from 3 exons. The record is from RefSeq and is a predicted model, not a curated record. Lineage: Eukaryota; Metazoa; Chordata; Actinopteri; Cichliformes; Cichlidae.